GUGUGGUUGGUUGGUGGUUG
RNAcentral lists this microRNA (20 nucleotides) under Ciona intestinalis (vase tunicate). RNAcentral describes it as "cin-miR-4020b-5p". Lineage: Eukaryota; Metazoa; Chordata; Ascidiacea; Phlebobranchia; Cionidae. The record is from miRBase by way of RNAcentral.